GUUUAGCCCCGAUAGCAACGGCAUCCUUUUUUGUUUUUUUUAGCAAAAAAGAUAUAGUGAAUAGCGGGAAAUAGC
Molecule: small RNA, 75 nt
Filed under: Flaviramulus basaltis
Lineage: Bacteria; Pseudomonadati; Bacteroidota; Flavobacteriia; Flavobacteriales; Flavobacteriaceae
Description: Flavo-1 RNA
Rfam family: Flavo-1 RNA
Source: Rfam by way of RNAcentral